AGUUAUCUACAAUCUAUUCUGAGCCUAAAAUGGGUGGAAAGGAGGGUAGUGAGAUUAUAAAAUCCCAGUGAGUAAACAAAUAUCAUUUAAAAAAUCUAAAGGCGAGUAAAAGGAGACUACUAAAACAUUUCAUCAAACUGUAAUUUAUCAUCUUUCAACUUAUUUCAACCAAUGAAAUCAAUUUAUUUAAAUCAAGUAAUCAGUAUAGCUUAUGAAUUUCUUAAAACCAUGGCUCGUGCCAAAAUUAUUCUCAUACUCAGUUAUCAGGGAUACCUUGGCCAAGGGCUAUCCCAAUUUGAGUCCGCCAAGGCUAUUAAUGUCACGACCCAAAUUUCGGGCCAUGACCGGCGCAAAGGUCCAAUGGACGUAAUCCACUAAACCCAAGCAAGCCUAUUGUUUAUCUUACUUAUAAUUCCAUCUAAUAUCACUAAGUCACAUUUCAUAACUUUGAAUCAAAAUAGUGAUAUACAUUGCCAACUCGUACUGGCAUUACUCCUUAAAAUUUACAUACAAUGUCUACAACAUGUAUUCUAAUAAUUUACAUUAAGUUCGUCUAUACAAAACAAAAUAACACUCGACUUCCAGCGGAGUGACUCGGAUGAAUAUACAGCUACCGAAUGCCGAGACACCUACCAAAAGAUGGACACAAGUCUACAAGGACACCUCGUCCUAGUUACCGGCUGCCUCGUGAUCUGAAAACAUGAAUUUGAAAAUGGUGAGUAUAAACCCAGUGAGUGAACAAGGAAGGGAACAAGCAACAACAACAAGGGAGAAUUUAAAAUCAUGAUGCACUUGUUUCAAAACAAUGCAAUUUAGUUCCAUUCAUAUUAAAAACCCCUCAUUUUAAACUUAACUCAUUUUGUCCUGAAUGUUAGAAGUCCAUGCUCAGAUAUGGUAGCAAAAAAGUGAAAAAUAGGGUAGCAAUUGGACAAGAUAAAAGACAAAACAGAAAGUUUUUCGCUGCAGCGAGAUUGGAUCUCGCUGCAGCGAAAUUUCUACCCAGAAACAGAAUGUUUCUCGUUGCAGCGAGAUUCAGGGAAAUUGCAACCCAGAAAACAGAAAGUUUCUCGCUGCAGCGAGAAGCUACAAUUUCAUUCUCGCUGCAGUGAAAAUGCAUUCUCGCUGCAUCAAGUUUUCGGUUAGUGUACCCCUCCAAACCUGAGAGUUUCUCGCUGCAGCGAAAUACAGGGCAUCAAUGCAAAAUUUACCUUUCUCCCAAAGGAAAAACCACCCUGCCAAAAGGUCCAAACCAACAUGAAAACACAUAACAAUUUCUCAAGGUUUAACAUGUCAAGUUUCACAUGCAUUACAACCAUAACCCAUUAUCCAUCAAUUUCCUAUAACACACAUAUUUACAUAUAUAUAUAUAUAUAUAUACGUAUAUACCCAUCAUCAUCAUCUCACCAACCCAUCAUCAUCAUCACCAGCUCAUCAUCAUCAUCACCAGCUCAUGCGCACUCCCUACUCGCACAUGGCUGGGUCAUCACCGGGUUAUGCGCACUCCCUACUCGCACAUAACCGGGUCAUCCUCGGCUUAUGCGCACUCCCUACUCGCACAUAGCCGAGUCAACAUAAUUACACAACAUUAUAUUCAAGCAUAUAUGUAUAUCAACAUAAUGCAGCCACAUAGAAAUCCAUAAUAACCACAUUUCAUAACAUAAACCUUUUCUCAAAAGCUUGUUCCCAAGGCAUUCAUUUUCAUGAAAAAUUGCAUAAAAUCAUUCAAACACUUUGUUCAAAACAGUCAUAUUCCCAAAACAAUUUUGAUAGGCAGUCCACUCACAGGUGUCGAAAAUCCGGAUUCCGGGUGAACUCUGACUAAUAGUCCUCAAGCGCAAUUCCUUUGCCUUUUCCGGACGUCUCACCACCUUGACAAAUAACAAAGUCGAGGAAUUUACUAUAUUGUCCCUAAAUUGAUAUAAAUUAAUUUAAAUUACUAAUGCUUGAUAUGUAAAUGCAAAAAUAUGUCCGAUUACCGCUUAAUCACGGUAUCGAUUAAAUUCGACCGAUCACCCGAUUAAUUGGCGAUUGUGUCCAAAUCACCUCCAAAUUAAUCCAUUUCUCCUCUAAUACCUUAAUUUACCACAUAACAUUUAAAUAAAGCCAAAUUCAGCAUUAGAACCCUCACAGUUCCUUAUAGAAAAAUUUGGUCAUUUGGUGCACUAGCAUCGAAUUUUUUUCUACAUAACCGUUUCACCUUAAUUCAUCAUUUUCCAAGCCAUUUUCCUUGAAAUAAAAACAAUCCCCCAUUGAUAUUCAGCCCUCAUGGUUCGACCAACAAGGAACCCUAGAGAAAUUGAAUAUUUCUUUUGUGUUUUUGUUCAUAACCAUGCUUAACUAUCCCUAAACACUAACAUAGUCUAAAAUCAAAUUAUUCCAACAACAAUUCCUCUUCCAUACCCAUUUUUCAGAAUUGAAUUCAUCAUGAUAACUCAAUAUUCAACCAUGGAAAUCAAGAACAAAAGCAUGGGUAAGCUAGGUAUCAAGGAGAAUUAAAGAAAUUUUAACUUACCUAGCUUGUUUCCUUGAUUUCUUCACUUUUUCUUUGAAUUUCCACCUAGGUUUUCUUGUUUUUCCUUUUGUUCUUCCUUUUUUCUUGUUGCUGGAUGCCUAGGCCGAAUAUGGUGAGGGAAUUGGGGAUUUAAUGGGCUGAUUUCUAUAGAAAAUAAUAAAAUAAUCAAGCAUGCCAUGUGUCACAUGCUUAUUGGCCCAAUUUUUUAACUUUUUGACUUUUUCUUCUUAAUUUUCCACCACAAAUAUUCUGGUAUUUAUCCAAUCCUACCACAAUUAAAAUCCCUUGGUCUUGACAAGUGCUGGGGUGAAAAAUUUACCGAUUUGCCCCUGGGGUGAAAAAAUUACUAUUUUGCCCUUUUACUCCGAAAUGUACCGGAAUCUCAUUAUUUCUACUUUUCAACCUAAAAUAACACUAAUAUUGAUCAAUAUUAACCAAAUAGGGCAAAAAUUGUUAAAAAAAAUUUUCGUUUAGUCCUUUAGUGGCAAAAUUACCAUUUUGCCCUUGUGCUCCAUAAAUACCGAGAAUCACAAUUUUUCACUGCUAAACAUCAUUUUAUACUCCAAUAAUCAUAAUUAUAUUUCAUAUAAUUAUUCUUGGUCAAAUGUGAUCAAAUCUUGGCUAAAAAUCUCAAUUUUAUCAUCAAAUGGUAAAAUGACCGUUUUGUCCCUAAUUGGUCAAUUUUCUGAUGGACUCCAAACUGGACCUUGAACUCCAAAUCACUAUUCUAAGUCAUUCUGUGGGUUUUAAAAUUUUCAAAUUCCUCUUAGAAUUUCUAUUUGAACUAGUUCAAGGCUCGAUUUAACUUAGUUGUACCACUCGGUACAAUACCGUCUUUUAAUCGAGCUUGACAGGGUCUCACAUUCUCCCCCACUAAUAAAAAUUCGGUCCCCGAAUUUAAAUUCAAUGUAGAGUGGCUUACCUUUACAUAUCGAAGAGGUGUGGAUGCUUUGUCCACAUCUCAUCCUCAGCUUCCCACAUUACCUCCUUGCUAGUGUGAUUCCGCCACAACACUUUCACUGAGGCUACAUCCUUUGAACGGAGCUUUUUAACUUGCCUAUCAAGGAUAGCUACCGGUUGUUCCUCAUAGGUUAGAUCAUCUUGCAACUGAAUGGUUUCAUACUGUAUUACAUGUGAUGGAUUUGGGUUAUACUUCCUAAACAUGGACACAUGAAACACGGGAUGAAUAUUCGAAAGGUCUGGUGGUAAUGCCAAACAAUAAGCCACCGCUCCAACCUUUUCUAAGAUCUCGAAUGGCCCUAUAUACCGAGGACUUAACUUCCCUUUCUUGCCAAACCUCAUUACCCCUUUAGUUGGUGAAACUUUCAAAAAUACAUGAUCUUCUACUUGGAACUCCAAGUCUCUCCGUCGGUUAUCAGCAUAUGAUUUCUGUCUACUUUGUGCUGUUAACAUCCUCUGACGGAUCAUGCGUAUUUUCUCGGUUGCAUCCUGCACCAAUUCAGGCUCUAAAAGUUUCCUUUCUCCCACCUCUAGCCAUCCAAUGGGUGACCUACAUUUUCGUCCAUAUAAUGCCUCAAAUGGUGCCAUUUGGAUGCUAGUUUGGAAACCAUUGUUGUAGGCAAACUCCACUAAGGGUAGAUAUUGAUCCCACUUGACACCAAGGUCUAUCACACAAGGUCUCAACAUAUCCUCCAAUGUCUGUAUGGUCAGUUCAGACUGUCCAUCAGUCUGAGGGUGGAAAGCUGUGCUAAAUCCAACUUAGUGCCUAAUGCUUCCUGCAACUUUCCCCGAAACCUACUAGUAAACUGAGCUCCUCUGUCAAAUACUAUAAAAAUGGAAAUACCAUGCAGUCGUACUAUCUCAUCCGCAUAAACUCGAGCGUAUUAGGCAGCCCCGUAAGUAGUCUUAACCGGAAGAAAAUGAGCUGACUUUGUUAACCGGUCUACUACUAUCCAAAUUGAAUUAUAUCCCUCAUUGGUUCGAGGUAAACCCAUUACAAAGUCCAUAGCAAUAUGUUCCCACUUCCACUCGGGUACUGGUAAUGGCUGUAGUAGCCCUGAAGGCUUUUGAUGCUCAACCUUAACCUGCUGACAAACCAGGCACUUGGAGACAAACUCAACUACAUCUCUCUUAAGUCCUUCCCACCAAUACACCUCUUUCAAAUCUUGAUACAUCUUUGUAGCCCCUGGAUGUACCACAUAAGCUGCCAUGUGAGCUUCCUCCAAUAUUUCUCUCCUCAACCCGUCACUAUCAGGCACAUAAAGUCUGGUUCCAUACCUCAACACUCCAUCUGUGCCUUUGGUAUACAUUUUUCCUUUCCUUCCCUGAGGAUCCUCUAAGGCCUUAGCCACAAACUCAUUUUUACUUUGUGCUUCUUUGAUUCGGUCCAUUAAGAUAUGCCUUACUCUAAAAUGUGCUAGCAAUGCAUCUAUCUCUGCAACUUCCAAAUGCACACCUAUGUCUCCCAAGCUAUGGAUCUCUUUAAACAAUGAUCUUUUAUCAGUAGAAAUUUAUGCCAAGCUUCCCAUUGAUUUUCGACUCAAGGCAUCCGCCAUUACAUUGGCCUUACCGGGAUGGUAAAGAAUAGUACAAUCAUAAUCCUUUAGCAACUCCAUCCAUUUACGUUGCCGCAAGUUAACAUCCCUCUGCUGAAAUAUAUACUUCAGACUUUUGUGGUCAGUGUAUAUCUCGCAAGUCUCACCAUACAAAUAAUGUCUCCAAAUUUUCAAGGCAAACACGAUUGUUGCCAUUUCCAAAUCGUGUAUGGGGUAAUUCUGCUCAUGCCUUUUAAGUUGCCUAGAUGCAUAUGCAAUCACCUUCCCAUGUUGCAUUAAUACAAAUCUUAAACCAACCCCCGAUGCAUCACAAAACACCGUAUAACCCCCCGUGCCUUGUGGUAGGCUUAACACUGGAGCUGUGGUGAGACAUGCCUUAAGCUUCUCAAAGCUAUUCUCACAAGCAUCAUACCACUCAAAUUUUGUAUCCUUACGUGUCAGCUUAGUCAGGAGGGCGACUAUUUUGGAGAAGUCCUUCACAAAGCGACGAUAAUAGCCAACCAAACCCACAAAGCUUCUAAUCUCCGUAACUAAUGUUGGCCUUGGCCAUUUUUCCACUGCUUUAAUUUUCUUUGAAUCAACUCGUAUCCCAUCCUUAGAUACCACAUGCCUCAAGAAUGCAACACUUUCGAGCCAAAACUCACACUUGGAGAACUUGGCAUACAAUUGAUGUUCUCUCAAAAUUUAGAGCAUUAUCUUAAGAUGCUGCUCAUGCUCGUCUCAGCUCUUCGAAUAUAUCAAGAUGUCAUCAAUAAACACCACCACGAACUUAUCCAAAUAAGGCUUGAACACUCGGUUCAUCAAAUCCAUAAAGGCUGCAGGAGCAUUCGUGAGCCCAAAUGACAUCACCAAGAACUCAUAGUGCCCAUAUCUUGUUCGAAAUGCGGUCUUGGGUAUAUCUUCAUUUCGGAUUCUCAAUUGAUGGUACCCAGAUCGUAGAUCUAUCUUAAAGAAAAAUUGUGCUCCUUGUAGUUGAUCAAAUAAAUCAUCUAUCCUUGGGAGAGGAUACUUAUUCUUCACCGUCACUUUAUUAAGCUGUCAAUAAUCAAUGCACAGCCUAAGUGACCCAUCUUUCUUCUUUACAAAUAACACCGAUGCUCCCCAUGGGGAUACACUAGGACGGAUGAAGCCUUUAUCCAACAAAUCCUCUAAUUGAUCCUUAAGCUCUUUAAGCUCUACCGGUGCCAUUCUAUAUAGGGGUAUGGAUAUAGGUCUAGUGUCGGGAAUUAAAUCUAUGCAAAAUUCAAUCUCCCGCUCAGGAGGUAAACCUGGUAGCUCCUCGGGAAAUACAUCCACGAACUCCUUCACCACUGACACUUGACUUACAUUUCUAACCUUCGCUUUAGUAUCUCUUACCACGGCCAAGUAACCUAUACAACCCUGUCGUAAUAAUCUUCUAGCAGAAAUGACCGAUAUCAAAUUGGUUGAAGCAUUACUCUUAUCCCCCUAAAUACUAAAUGAUGGUUCACCGGGAAAAUCAAAUCUAACCAAUUUAUGAUAACAGUCCACACUAGCAUGACAGGGUGAUAACCAAUCCAUCCCCAAGAUCACAUCAAAGUCUAAGGUGUCUAACACCACCAAAUUCACCAAAGUGUCCUUGUCCUUGACUCGUACUACACAGGACUCGUAUUCCCAUUCAGCCACAAAUAUCUCCUUUAAAGAAGUAGACACCACUAAUUGUUCCUCUCUCCUAACACGAUCUCUACCCAACAAGAUGCAAAACAUGGAGAGAUAAAAGAAUGGGUAGCACCAGGAUCAAAUAAGACUCGAACAUUCAUAUCACAAACUGAAAGAAUACUUGAGACCACGGCAUUGGAUGUCUGGGCUUCUUGUUGUGUUAAAGCAAACAUCUUCGCCUGGCCUCUACCAACAGAACUUUAAUGUCCAGACCCAGAUGGCCUACCCUGAGAGGAAGUACCAGCACCUCUACCUCUCAAUCCACUAGCCUCCCGGCCAGAUGAGGCAGCAACUGAAGGAGCAGACGAAGCUAGUUGGGUGGAACCACGUGUCGAAUCUUGUGAUUGAUGAGCCAUCGGACAAUUCCUUCUAAUGUGCCCGAGUUGGCCACACCCAUAACAAACUACCGCAGUACAUAAGCAUCGUCCACUAUGUCUCAUCCCACAAGUAUUACAAGGGUGGAUAACUUGACUACUUUGUCUCGAAUCAUGUUGCCUUCUAGCAUUGAAAGUUCUUUGUCCCGUCCCAACACUAGCACUAGGCAGGUCACUCCUUUGCUGGGAUAAUCGUGAAUCCCUCUGUGGACCCUGAUGGUUAGAAGAUGAACCACCACUGUUGAAAUCUCUACGGCCCUGAUAACCCUCUGUCCUAGCCUUCUUUGCUCUAUCCCUCGCUGCCCUACUCUCACUGGUCCUCAUUUCAAUGCGCUGAGCAUAAUCUACUACUGCAGAAUAGGUAGUGAAAUCUCGAGAUGCCACAACCUUAAAUAGUGGCUCUACUAACCCAUCCACAAACCUUUGAAUCUUCAUCUCCUCAGUAGAAAUAAGGUAGGGAGCAUACCGAGACAACUGUGUGAACUUGAUGUCAUACUCCAACACCGUCAUACUCGAAGUCUGUACCAAAGUCUCAAACUCCCUAGCUCUAGCAUUAAGUACACUGAGUGGUAGAAACCGAUCCAAGAAGGCUGCACUAAACUCACUCUAAGCCAAUGGCGCUGCAUCUGUCGGUCUACAUCUACACAAAGAGCUAUACCACUCCUGCGCCACAUCCUCUAAUUGGAAAGCGGCUAACUCAACUGACCGAACACUAGAGCAUCCCAAAGCUUUACAUAUCUUCUCUAUCUUAUCCAAGAAAUCUGGGGUUUCUCUGAUGCAUCAGACCCUGAAAAUGAUGGAUGCUUAAGCUUUAGGAAAUCGGGAAGAGAAAUCUCUAAGUGACCCCUCUCAACCUCACGAUAUUGGCGAUCAACGUGUCCUUGGGAGCUAGGAGAUUCUUGUACUGUAGGUCUCCCCUCUACUACCCUCUGUAUAUCCUCCAUACAGGUCACCAUCAUCUCUACGACCCGGUUAACUCCCUGUAGGCCUGCCGCCAAAUCCUCAAUAGUAAUACCCCCAGCUGGGUGUCUAUCUACAUCACCUAAGGACUGUCCCUCCUCUUGCUUACUCGCAGGCGUAUCCGACCUCACCAGCCUAAUGGCCCUGCCAUGUCUACCUCAACCUCUCCAGGUGGAUGCCCGUGGCCUAUCUGCCAUCUCAAUAAGAGCAUCUUGCUCCUCAUUCGUCUUGAGGCGACUCGUUUUUUAGGUGGUAUUCUUACCUAGACAAGAGCAAACACCUGAUAUUAAACACAUCUUAUAAUCAUACUUAAGGCUAAAGGUGGUUUCUAACAUAGGGAAUCUAUGCAAUCAUUGGGUUGUAAAAUGUGCCGCAGUUCACACUUUAUAACUGAAGUUCCCACAUAAAGACCCGACUCUCUGCUGGACCAACAAAAGGAAGUUAUAGGACCUAGACAAACCUAGGAAUCUGAUACCAACAUUGUCACGACCCAAAUUCCAGGCCAUGACCAGCGCAAGGGUCCAAUGGACGUAAUCCACUAAACCCAAGCAAACCUAUUAUUUAUCUUACUUAUAAUUCCAUCUAAUAUCACUAACUCAUAUUUUAUAACUUUAAAUCAAAAUAGUGAUAUACAUUGCCAACUCGUACUGGCAUUACUUCUUAAAAAUUUACAUACAAUGUCUACAACAUGUAUUCUAAUAAUUUACAUUAAGUUCGUCUAUACAAAACAAAAUAACACUCAACUUCCAGCGGAGUGACUCAGAUGAAUAUACAGCUACCGAAUGCCGAGACACCUAUCAAAAGAUGGACACAGGUCUACAAAGACACCUCGUCCUAGUUAUCGGCUGCAUCGUGAUCUGAAAACAUGAAUUUGAAAAUGGUGAGUAUAAACCCAGUGAGUGAUCAAGGAAGGGAACAAGCAACAACAACAAGGGAGAAUUUAAAAUCAUGAUGCACUUGUUUCAAAACAAUGCAAUUUAGUUCCAUUCAUAUUAAAAACCCCUCAUUUUAAACUUAACUCAUUUUGUCCUAAAUGUUAAAAGUCCAUGCUCAGAUAUGGUAGCAAAGAAGUGAAAAAUAGGGCAGCAAUUGGACAAGAUAGGAGACAAAACAAAAAGUUUUUUGCUACAGCGAAAUUGUUACCCAAAAACAAAAAGUUUUUUGCUAUAGCGAGAACCAGUUCUGGUGAAAGGUCCUCAAACCCGAGAGUUUCUCGCUACAACGAGUAUGAAUUUCGCUGCAGCGAAAACAGAGCAACAAGAGAAACAUUUUUCCUCACUCAACAAAAAACCAUCCUGCUAAACUAACAAAAUCAACAUAAAACUCAUGAACAUUCUCAAAGUACAAUGUGUCAAAUUUCACAUAUAUGUUAACCAUAUAUCACAUUCAUGAGCUUUCAUUUUAUAAAUCUAGAUAUGCAUAAUUACAUAGAUAAACAUCGAUAUCAUCAUAAUCACUCCCGGCUCAUGUACAUCCCCCCACAUCGUGCACAUAGCCGACACCAUCAUGUGCAUCCCCCCACAUCGUGCACAAUCAGUGCUAUCGUGUACAUCCCCCCACAUCGUGCACACGGGCACUAUCAUCAUCUAUCUCUCACGCCACCACCAUCACCGACAUGUGCAUUCUCCACCUCGUGCACACACACGGUUACAGUCAUUAUAUACAAUAUCAUUCAUCAUGCACAACACACACANNNNNNNNNNNNNNNNNNNNNNNNNNNNNNNNNNNNNNNNNNNNNNNNNNNNNNNNNNNNNNNNNNNNNNNNNNNNNNNNNNNNNNNNNNNNNNNNNNNNNNNNNNNNNNNNNNNNNNNNNNNNNNNNNNNNNNNNNNNNNNNNNNNNNNNNNNNNNNNNNNNNNNNNNNNNNNNNNNNNNNNNNNNNNNNNNNNNNNNNNNNNNNNNNNNNNNNNNNNNNNNNNNNNNNNNNNNNNNNNNNNNNNNNNNNNNNNNNNNNNNNNNNNNNNNNNNNNNNNNNNNNNNNNNNNNNNNNNNNNNNNNNNNNNNNNNNNNNNNNNNNNNNNNNNNNNNNNNNNNNNNNNNNNNNNNNNNNNNNNNNNNNNNNNNNNNNNNNNNNNNNNNNNNNNNNNNNNNNNNNNNNNNNNNNNNNNNNNNNNNNNNNNNNNNNNNNNNNNNNNNNNNNNNNNNNNNNNNNNNNNNNNNNNNNNNNNNNNNNNNNNNNNNNNNNNNNNNNNNNNNNNNNNNNNNNNNNNNNNNNNNNNNNNNNNNNNNNNNNNNNNNNNNNNNNNNNNNNNNNNNNNNNNNNNNNNNNNNNNNNNNNNNNNNNNNNNNNNNNNNNNNNNNNNNNNNNNNNGCCAUUUUCCUUGAAAUAAAAACAAUCCCCCAUUGAUAUUCAGCCCUCAUGGUUCGACCAACAAGGAACCCUAGAGAAAUUGAAUAUUUCUUUUGUGUUUUUGUUCAUAACCAUGCUUAACUAUCCCUAAACACUAACAUAGUCUAAAAUCAAAUUAUUCCUAUCACACAAUCCUCUUCAUACCCAUUUUUCAGAAUUGAAUUCAUCAUGAUAACUCAAUAUUCAACCAUGGAAAUCAAGAACAAAAGCAUGGGUAAGCUAGGUAUCAAGGAGAAUUAAAGAAAUUCUAACUUACCUAGCUUGUUUCCUUGAUUUCUUCACUUUUUCUUUGAAUUUCCACCUAGGUUUUCUUGUUUUCCCCUUUGUUCUUGUUGCUGGUUGCCUAGGCCAAAUAUGGUGAGAGAAUUGGGGAUUUAAUGGGCUGAUUCUAAAAAAAAUAAUAAAAUAAUCAAGCAUGCCAUGUGUCACAUGCUUAUUGGCCCAAUUUUUAACUUUUUAACUUUUUCUUCUUAAUUUUCCACCACAAAUAUUCUGGUAUUUAUCCAAUCCUACUGCAAUUAAAAUCCCUUGGUCUUGACAAGUGCUGGGGUGAAAAAUUUAUCGAUUUGCCCCCGGAGUGAAAAAAUUAUGAUUUUGCUCCUAUACUCUGAAAUGUACCGGAAUCACAUUAUUUCUACUUUUCAACCUCAAAUAACACUAAUAUUGAUCAAUAUUAACCAAACGGGGCAAAAAUCGUUUUAUAAAAAUUCUCGUUUAGUCCUCUAGUGGCAAAAUUACCAUUUUACCCUUGUGCUCCAAAAAUAUCGAUUUAACUUAGUUAAAGGCUCGAUUUAACUUAGUUGUACCACUCGGUACAAUACUGUCUUUUAAUCGAGCUUGACAAGGUCUCACAAUUAAAAAGUUACGUACGCAUAAAUAUGUUUUUAUUUUAAAAAUAUAGCCGUUCCUUGGCGUUGGUCGAGUUUCCCCUCACGUGGUGGUUUGGCAUGAAGUGAACUCUAAAAGUUAUACCUCGGGAGUUACCCUACUCAACUCUUUAACCGAGGUAAAAUAUAACAGGGUUUACCAUACCCCUCUAAUAGGCUAGUCCACGGAACCCGCCUACUAUAGUAAGCUAAUAAUUAUCCCACCAAUCAAUAAAAUUCAAUAACAUGAUAUGACAAUUAUUGUAAUUCACAGUCUUUCAAGGCUAAAUACACAUUUCACAUAUUUCAACACAAAUAUCAAUUCAGCCAUUCAUGCAAAUAUUGUCAUAAGCCAUUCGAUUCAAAUCAUAAAUUUUACAACAUAACAAGUGGUCUCCAAUUACUCUAUUUUUCAAAAUCAUUAUUCAAUUUCAAGAUAAUUUAUAAAAUCUUUUCAUGUAAACACAUUUUGUUUGUAAAAUACAAAGAUUUACCAUUUGUACUCCUUUUCAUAAAAUUUCACCAAAAUCGAAUAAAAACAUACUUUAGAUAAUUAAAAUGAUAGUAAGGUUACUCAUAGUACUAGGAGUUCGAUAUACUCCUAUUCUCGAUCUUCGGGCACAAUCUCUUUACCCUUGUUAGAGGGCUCACCACCUAUACAUCAUACGUGACAUGGAUUUCAAUAAAUUGUGUCAAUUUAUCAUAAACUAUUUCAGGCUCUCUAAAUCUAAAUGAAUGCAUGCGAUAGGAUGCAAAAUGUCAGAUAAUCACUUAAAUGUGAUAUUCGACCUAAGUCACACUAUACUCGGUCCAAUCGGCUAAAAUCUCCAAUUUAACUCCAAAUCAAUUCUUCUCACUUUCUACACUCCAAUUAUACCUAAAUUACCUUAGUAACUGUGAAUGAGAUUCAAUUUAUUAGUCCCGGGUCAAUAAUCACACUUGUUUAUACAUUGAGCAAAAAUUCAGAUUUUCACACCAAAAUUUCCUAUUUAAUUUCUAGUCUCAUCAAACAUCAAAUAUCACCAAAAUAUCAUAAAAUAUCAUCAAUUUCAGUCACAAUAUCCUCCCUAGGAAAUUCGGCCAUUGAUGGUUGAUGGGGAAAAUGAAUUCUUUUCUUAUUGUUUUAUUUCUAGACAUGAUAAACUAACUAAAAACACUAACAUAACUUAGAAUCAAAUCAAUCCAACUUCAUUCUCUCUCCAUACCCAUUCCAACUAGCCAUGGAUUCACCAUGAAAACAUGAAAUCUAACCAUGGAAAAUGAAAAAGAAAGCAUGGGUAGUGUAAAUCACAAGUCAAAAUCAAGAAAUUUUACCUUUAUUAGCUUAAUCCCUUGAAAUCCCACACUUUUUCUUCAAUUUUCUCACCUAGGAUUCUUGUUUUUUUCCUUUCCUCCUUUGUUGUUCUUUGGCCG
RNAcentral lists this long non-coding RNA (12667 nucleotides) under Theobroma cacao (cacao). Its description in RNAcentral is "long non-coding RNA (TCAC_LNC003922)". Lineage: Eukaryota; Viridiplantae; Streptophyta; Magnoliopsida; Malvales; Malvaceae. The record is from RNAcentral.